Molecule: transfer RNA, 70 nt
Filed under: pig gut metagenome
Rfam family: tRNA
About the family: Transfer RNA (tRNA) molecules are approximately 80 nucleotides in length. Their secondary structure includes four short double-helical elements and three loops (D, anti-codon, and T loops).
Source: RNAcentral
CGAUUUAGCUCAGUUGGUAGAGCAACUCCCUCGUAACGAGUAGGUCAAUGGUUCAAAUCCGUUAAUCGGC